Molecule: RNA transcript, 3240 nt
Organism: Zea mays
Lineage: Eukaryota; Viridiplantae; Streptophyta; Magnoliopsida; Poales; Poaceae
Exons: 20
Source: RefSeq, marked validated
CUCAUGCUACUGCUGCUACUGCUAAAAUCCCCCUCACACUCACACCCCUCUCCUAAUCAUCCGCUUAAACCCACGAGCCCGGCAGGCAGGCAGGCAGCCCGGUGCCGAUGGACUCCUCGGGCUCCGCCUCGUCCUACAAGCUGCAGCUCGCCCUCGCGGCACUCGUUGGUGCCUCCGCCGCCGCUUCAGCGGCCUACUACCUGCACUGCCGUGCCGUCGCGCAGGUUGCUCGCUCCGCCUCCACGAGCCGCCGUAGGCCCCGCGCCCCCGCCUCCGCCGCUAGCGGCGGCGGCGGCGGCGGCGUGAAGCUCCCUCCACCGCGCCGCGCUGCCGUCGGCUCAGCCUCGCUUCCCGACCUCUCUGCGUUCUAUGAUGUCGGCAGCCGCGGCGGCGGCGGGCUCGCCGCCGGCGGGUACCUCGUGGAGGAGGAGGAGGACGACGAUGCGGAUGGGGUCGUGGGCCCGCACGUGAACGGUGGCGCGCUCGACCCCGCGGAGUUCCUUCAGAUACCCCAGGGCUUGCCUAGACUGCACGUGGGCCCCGACGGCAGUAAACAACUUGCCCGGUCAGGUUCAAAUAGACGGGUUGAAAUAAUUAGACCUAAGUCACCCAAGUCUCCUGCUGCCAGUGCAAGUGAAGAUGGAUCAGAUGAGGAUGAUUCUAUACAAAGUAGUGGUAAACUUGACAAUGGCUACAUGGACACAAGUGGAAACCUGGAAGGAGAACACAAAGGAAAUGCAAUUGUGGAAAAUGGGGCUGCCAAGCCAUUAGCUGCAGCAAACUUGAUACGGUCACGCAGUAAAUCCAAUAAUCUUCAUGCAGUUCAACCUGACCCAGUUGCUGCAGAUAUUCUACGAAAAGAACCUCAGCAAGAAUCAUUUGUCAAGCUGCUAACUACUCCAAAGGAGAUUCCGACUGCUGAUGAAAUUGAGGUGUUCAAAAUCCUUCAGAAGUGCCUCGAGUUAAGAGACUCUUAUCUCUUUAGAGAGGAGGUUGCUCCAUGGGAGAAGGAGGUCAUAAAUGACCCCUGUACUCCAAAACCUAACCCCAACCCGUUCACUUAUGUGCCUGAACCAAAGUCAGAGCAUGUUUUCCAAACUGUUGAUGGCGUUAUCCAUGUUUAUGCGGAUAAAGAUUGUACGGAGAGCAUUUAUCCUGUGGCUGAUGCUACAACCUUCUUCACUGACUUGCAUUAUAUUCUCCGAGUAACGGCUGCAGGGAACACAAGAACUGUCUGCCAUAAUCGGUUAAAUCUUCUUGAGCAUAAGUUUAAAUUCCAUCUGAUGUUAAAUGCGGAUAGGGAAUUUCUUGCCCAGAAGACUGCCCCACAUCGUGAUUUUUACAAUGUCAGGAAGGUUGACACUCAUGUUCAUCAUUCAGCAUGCAUGAAUCAAAAACAUCUGUUGAGGUUCAUAAAAUCCAAACUAAGAAAAGAACCUGAUGAGGUGGUCAUUUUCAGAGAUGGUACUUAUAUGACUUUAAAAGAGGUUUUUGAGAGCUUGGACUUAACUGGGUAUGAUCUGAAUGUUGAUUUGCUAGAUGUCCAUGCAGACAAAAGCACAUUUCAUCGUUUUGACAAAUUCAAUCUAAAAUACAAUCCAUGUGGCCAAAGUAGGCUCAGAGAAAUUUUCCUCAAACAAGAUAAUCUUAUUCAAGGCCGUUUUCUUGCUGAGUUGACAAAGCAAGUUUUCUCUGACCUUUCUGCUAGCAAAUAUCAGAUGGCAGAAUAUAGGAUUUCAAUCUACGGAAGGAAACAGAGUGAAUGGGACCAACUUGCAAGUUGGAUAGUGAACAAUGAAUUGCACAGUGGAAAUGUUGUCUGGCUGGUUCAGAUUCCACGCUUAUAUAAUGUGUACAAGGAAAUGGGUAUCGUUACAUCAUUCCAAAAUCUUCUUGACAACAUUUUCGUUCCUCUUUUUGAGGUUACUAUUGAUCCAGCUUCACACCCACAGCUCCAUGUCUUCCUGAAGCAGGUUGUAGGGUUGGACCUGGUUGAUGAUGAAAGUAAACCAGAAAGGCGUCCAACAAAGCACAUGCCCACACCUGAACAGUGGACCAAUGUGUUCAACCCUGCAUUUUCAUAUUAUGCGUACUACUGCUAUGCUAACUUAUUCACCCUAAACAAGCUGCGUGAGUCAAAGGGAAUGACCACUAUCAAAUUCCGUCCACAUGCUGGAGAGGCUGGAGAUGUUGAUCACUUGGCAGCGACAUUUCUUCUCUGUCACAACAUAUCACAUGGAAUUAAUCUAAGGAAGUCUCCUGUGCUUCAGUACUUGUACUAUCUUGGUCAGAUUGGUCUGGCGAUGUCCCCAUUGAGCAACAACUCCUUAUUUCUUGACUAUCAUCGCAACCCUUUUCCAACGUUCUUCCAACGAGGUCUGAAUGUCUCAUUAUCUACGGAUGACCCUUUGCAAAUUCACCUGACAAAAGAACCAUUGGUGGAAGAAUACAGCAUUGCUGCUUCGCUGUGGAAGCUCAGUUCUUGUGAUUUAUGCGAAAUUGCGAGGAACUCUGUUUACCAAUCUGGGUUUUCACAUGCUCUCAAGGCGCACUGGAUUGGUAAGAACUACUUCAAAAGAGGACCUGCUGGAAAUGAUAUUCACAGAACCAAUGUACCGCACAUCAGGGUUCAAUUUAGAGAGAUGAUCUGGAGAAAUGAAAUGAAACUAGUGUACUCUGACAAUGAGAUCUUAAUACCAGACGAGCUGGACCUGUAAGAUGUCCAGCCUCGUGUAUACCAGACGAGUUGCGUUGUAGCUGCUAUGGGAAUUAUACUUCAUGUUUUGUUGCUGGAAGUCGGCAAAGUGAUCAAGAGUGUCACCAAGCAUACCAACUACCAAGGGAUGCAAUACUACCUCCAUUCUCGAAUAUUUGCCGUCCGCUAGUUUAUUUUUGAACUAAAACAUGACAAAUAAAAAAGAACGGAGGAAGUAAUACGGCAAAGUGAAGCAACAGAUGCUUGUGUAGGAGUUGUGUUACUAUCUUCAAGGCUUGUGCAAGAGUUGUGUUAAUGUCUCUUACUCACUCUUAUCUCUUAUCUUAAAUCUUACUUUAUAAGUGUUUUUUUUUUGCAUGCUCAUAGCUAGUAUUCCCUGAACACCCCCCCUCCCCUCGAAUUGUAACCAUGUACUCGAAGUGCUUGCACUCUGGUUGGAUCCUAUACGGUGAGUAAGGUGCUAUCGGUUGUUAUGCUGCCCAGAUGAAAUGGAAAUUGAACUAGAUGAAGAGGUUCUGGUUUCA